AUUGAACGCUGGCGGCAGGCUUAACACAUGCAAGUCGAGCGGAGCGAGGGUGCUUGCACCUUAGCUUAGCGGCGGACGGGUGAGUAAUGCUUAGGAAUCUGCCUAUUAGUGGGGGACAACAUUCCGAAAGGGAUGCUAAUACCGCAUACGCCCUACGGGGGAAAGCAGGGGAUCUUCGGACCUUGCGCUAAUAGAUGAGCCUCAGUCGGAUUAGCUAGUUGGUGGGGUAAAGGCCUACCAAGGCGACGGUCUGAAGCGGGUCUGAGGGGAUGAUCCGCCACACUGGGACUGAGACACGGCCCAGACUCCUACGGGAGGCAGCAGUGGGGAAUAUUGGACAAUGGGCGGAAGCCUGAUCCAGCCAUGCCGCGUGUGUGAAGAAGGCCUUUUGGUUGUAAAGCACUUUAAGCGAGGAGGAGGCUACUAGUAUUAAUACUACUGGAUAGUGGACGUUACUCGCAGAAUAAGCACCGGCUAACUCUGUGCCAGCAGCCGCAGUAA
Molecule: ribosomal RNA, 501 nt
Filed under: uncultured bacterium
Lineage: Bacteria
Description: partial 16S ribosomal RNA
Rfam family: Bacterial small subunit ribosomal RNA
Source: RNAcentral